This 550-nucleotide ribosomal RNA is filed under the name uncultured Acidobacterium sp. Its description in RNAcentral is "bacterial SSU rRNA". It matches the Rfam family "Bacterial small subunit ribosomal RNA", at positions 8 to 537 of the family's 1533-position model. The record is from RNAcentral. Lineage: Bacteria; Pseudomonadati; Acidobacteriota; Terriglobia; Terriglobales; Acidobacteriaceae.
AGAGUUUGAUCCUGGCUCAGAAUCAACGCUGGCGGCGUGCCUCAGACAUGCAAGUCGAACGAGAAAGUCCCCUUCGGGGGAUGAGUAAAGUGGCGCACGGGUGAGUAACACGUAGGUAAUCUACCUUCGGGUGGGGAAUAACCCAGGGAAACUUGGGCUAACACCGCAUAAUGCAGCGGCACCACAUGGUGACAGUUGUUAAAGCGGGGGAUUUUAGGACCUCGCGCCUGAAGAGGAGCCUGCGGCGGAUUAGCUAGUUGGUAGGGUAACGGCUUACCAAGGCGACGAUCCGUAACCGGCCUGAGAGGGCGGUCGGUCACACUGACACUGACAUACGGGUCAGACUCCUACGGGAGGCAGCAGUCGGGAAUUUUGGGCAAUGGGCGAAAGCCUGACCCAGCAACGCCGCGUGAAGGAUGAAAUCCCUCGGGAUGUAAACUUCGCAAGAAUAGGAAGAAUUAGUAGGGGCUAAUACCCCCUAUGAUGACGGUACUAUUUGUAAGCUCCGGCUAACUCCGUGCCAGCAGCCGCGGUAAUACGGGGGGAGCAA